Molecule: ribosomal RNA, 164 nt
Filed under: Clematis songorica
Lineage: Eukaryota; Viridiplantae; Streptophyta; Magnoliopsida; Ranunculales; Ranunculaceae
Description: 5.8S ribosomal RNA
Rfam family: 5.8S ribosomal RNA
About the family: 5.8S ribosomal RNA (5.8S rRNA) is a component of the large subunit of the eukaryotic ribosome.
Source: RNAcentral
GACUCUCGGCAACGGAUAUCUCGGCUCUUGCAUCGAUGAAGAACGUAGCGAAAUGCGAUACUUGGUGUGAAUUGCAGAAUCCCGUGAACCAUCGAGUCUUUGAACGCAAGUUGCGCCCGAAGUCUUUUAGACCGAGGGCACGUCUGCCUGGGAGUCACACACAG